Molecule: ribosomal RNA, 440 nt
Filed under: uncultured bacterium
Lineage: Bacteria
Description: partial 16S ribosomal RNA
Rfam family: Bacterial small subunit ribosomal RNA
Source: RNAcentral
CCUACGGGGCUGCAGUGGGGAAUAUUGGGCAAUGGGCGCAAGCCUGACCCAGCAACGCCGCGUGAAGGAAGAAGGCUUUCGGGUUGUAAACUUCUUUUAAGAGGGAAGAGCAGAAGACGGUACCUCUUGAAUAAGCCACGGCUAACUACGUGCCAGCAGCCGCGGUAAUACGUAGGGGGCAAGCGUUGUCCGGAUUUACUGGGUGUAAAGGGCGUGUAGUCGGGCUGACAAGGCAGAUGUGAAGUUCCGGGGCUAAACCACGGACCUGCAUUUGAAACUGUUGGUCUUGAGUAUCGGAGAGGAAGGCGGAAUUCCUAGUGUAGCGGUGAAAUGCGUAGAUAUUAGGAGGAACACCAGUGGCGAAGGCGGCCUGCUGGACGACAACUGACGGUGAGGCGCGAAAGCGUGGGGAGCAAACAGGAUUAGAUACCCUUGUAGUC